Molecule: long non-coding RNA, 480 nt
Organism: Camelina sativa (false flax)
Lineage: Eukaryota; Viridiplantae; Streptophyta; Magnoliopsida; Brassicales; Brassicaceae
Source: RefSeq, a predicted model, not a curated record
AAAGACAUAACUGAUUUGUAUAGAUAACAAAUAGACACAAUGAUCUGUGACUCUCCAUAUUUGUAACUCUCUAAUGUAACAACACAAACUGCAACGUUAAGACUGAAACGUUGCAACUGUUAACCAAAAUCAAUUAUCAACUAACAGGGUUCAGCUUUUAGCCAUCUGAAAUGUUAUAGAACUUGGCAGACAGGUGCUGUAAAUAUUCUGUGGUAUGACGUUUAUGAGGGUUCAUUAUGUGCUCCAGUUCCUUAAAAGAAGAAGUUGAAAGACAAGAUGGCUGAGUUUCAGGUAAUGGACACCUUGGCGGAGAUCCAAGAAAGUCAUGAUGCUGUCAGAGACUUAGAAAAGAAACUUCUUGACUUGCAACAAGUUUCUUAAAUAUGGCGGUUUUGGUAGUUGGACAAGGAGAAAUGCUUGACAACCUAGAAUCUCAGGUAAUUUGGUAUCUCUGAGUGUUGAAAUUAGAAGGUUUCAAAA